GGGGCAUAAACUCAAUUAAGGGAAAUAUAUUCAAUUUUGUAACCAAGGCACCGAGGGUCUUCUCCACUUACAUGUGAAGUUACGAAGCAUUCACAUUGAAAUUGCAUUCAGACUAUUAAUUUUAGGAACAUUGUGGGACAUAAACUCAAUUAAGGGACAUAUUCAAUUUUUCAUCUAAAAAAAAUGAAAUUCAUACCGGAAGAUUGCAUCAUUACUAUCCAAUUCAUACUUCAAUUUACAUUUCAAAGUUCCUAUUUGCACGAAACAUUUCACAAGCAGAUGAAUUUCGAAAUGUUACCUUGUAUACAGCACCAAAUCCACCCUCUCCNNNNNNNNNNNNNNNUGGGACAUCGUGGGACAUAAACUUAAUAGGCCAUAUACUUAAUUUGGCAUCUAAGGUACCAAAGGUCUUCUUCCCCAAUUACAUGUAAAGU
RNAcentral lists this long non-coding RNA (434 nucleotides) under Trifolium pratense (red clover). Its description in RNAcentral is "long non-coding RNA (TPRA_LNC004424)". The record is from RNAcentral. Lineage: Eukaryota; Viridiplantae; Streptophyta; Magnoliopsida; Fabales; Fabaceae.